GGGGGCGUUUUGGAUUCGACGCCGGUGACAAAACCCAAGGUGCAUGUCGUGAUGACGACCAAUCACGUAAAUCCAAAGUCGUAUUUUAUUAGUUGCCAACGACGACAACUACGCUCUGGCGGCAUAAGCCCGCUAGCAGAAGCCACUGGAUGCCAGUAAACGGGAAGCUUCUGUCAAAUAGAACUGGACCGCAGUGAGGUUGGCUUAGGGCACCACUGUUAAACUUUACUAAGAUCGCCGACCUCGUCCUGCCUAUCGGGCUGAGUGAGGCUAAAUUAAUUGAUAGGGUCUAAGCAUGUAGAGCCGAGGGCGGAGUGCUGACGGACGCGGGUUCAACUCCCGCCGCCUCCACCA
Molecule: transfer-messenger RNA, 354 nt
Filed under: Porticoccaceae
Lineage: Bacteria; Pseudomonadati; Pseudomonadota; Gammaproteobacteria; Cellvibrionales
Also listed under: 1 other name
Description: SCSIO-12696 sp024397955 Standard tmRNA
Rfam family: transfer-messenger RNA
About the family: Bacterial tmRNA, also known as 10Sa RNA or SsrA, is named for its dual tRNA and mRNA-like properties. Its role is to liberate the mRNA from a stalled ribosome. To accomplish this part of the tmRNA is used as a reading frame that ends in a translation stop signal.
Source: RNAcentral